CAAUGAAAUUGGGGGUCACCACAACAUAAGGAACUGUAUUCAAUUUUAAGAAGUCAUUACAAUGUAAAUACUCCUUUAUUACCUGCUGACACUUGGGGGCGACUAAUUAGCAUCCAGCUGAGAGCAAGGCCCUGGGAAAGACAGGUGAGAUUUGAAGAGGAGUUGGAUGGAGGGAGGGAUGGGAGAGGUCCUAGGUGAUACUCUGUCUCCUCCUCGGCUCCCCUGUCGGGAGGACUCCAGAGAAACCACUACCAGCCUUAGGCAUGUCUUAAAGCCCCUCCUCACCCUGGGAACCAGGAACCUCACCCUCCACACCCCCGCUCUCAGCCCAGGAUCUUGGCUACACCUGCCAUACCAUAGGCACUGCCCCGCUGGGGAAGGUUUCCUGCCAACGGUUAGCACUUGGAUGUUGGCACCAACCAAUGCAGCUCUACUCCUGAUGUCCCUCCACACCACCCCCAUCUCAGAGCCCUGCCACCCAGAACUUCACCCCCGAUCUGCUACCCAGUUUGUCUCCUGCCUUCUCAGCAGAGGCCGUGUCCUCCUCCUUCAGACUGUACGACCUUUGAGGGUGAGAGCUCUCCUUCCUCCCUGGGUGGUCCUUGGGAGGAGGUUGUGCACUUCCACUGCUGGCACUGAUUCAGGGCAGGGCCCAGUCUUCCCACUCAGAGUGGGGGCUCCCUGGGGGCCUCUCCUGCCUCAGUCUAUCUCUAGACCCUGCUUCAGACCUCUCGGCCCAGAAUGCAGAGGAAGGGAGACACGUGCCCUCAUCCCAGCUCCUCAGGGAUCGAAGAUUGGGGAGGAUCCCAACAAGCCAGCAAAGAAAGGAGAUGAGCAGGUCAGCUUUCAGUGUUGCCAAGAGCUGGCAUGGUGUGAUCCCUCAAUUGGCAAUUAUUGAUAUUGCCUUCUUCUCUGUCUCUCAGGUAAAACCACGUAGGAAGCAAAUGUCAUCUAAAGAAUGGGGUAUUUACCCCAUCCACGUGCUUGUCACCCGAAACACCAAGAGCACCGAGCUAGAAGUUCUUCUCAAAUUACUGGGCGUAAGAGAGGCCAACCAGCCAUCCGUGUUGGUAGAAUGACACUCCUUUCCACCAACCUCUUCCCCUGAGUCUCCUGCACCAAUUCUUGCCCUGGAGUCACCAGGAAAGAAGAAACCCAGAGUCGGGCCUCCUGAUGCAAGGGCUUGAACAUAUUAUAAAAAUUAUAAUUAGAACAUUCUGGAAGACACACCCUGGAAGGGAGCUCAGAUGUGCCAAUGUUUUCACUAUCUUAAAAUCACACGAGCCAAGUGCCAGGCUCAUGAUGCAAGGGUUUUGUGUGAUGGAAAGACGUGGGAGACACUGUUCCUCUGCUAAAGAAACAACCUAGUGAAGGCAGCCGAUGUGUGAAAUCUCACGGUGAACAACACUAGCCCGAGGGCCGAACACCAUGUGCAUUCCAGUUCCUCUCCUUCCCCGCUAUGUGACCUCGCCAAGUCACUUCUCCUUUCAAAUGGGGCUAACAAUAUUCACUCCACAGAGUCGUUAAGGGUUAAACACGAUGAUACCUGUAAAGUGGUUAGUAAAUAGUUUGAUGUGUGGCGAAGGUGAUAGCAGCAAUAGCAGCAGGACCAUGCGAUGGCAUCAGGCUUACAUUCACUUCCACCUACAUCUAAGCAGCAGAGGAAAAGGGCCAAUUAAAACAGUGCUAGAGACUCUGCCUGGGUGUGAAGUGGGAGGUGGGACACCCCAGCGCCUUGGACCUUCUCAGCUUCCCUGGGUGAUCAUCUCACUGAACAGAGAACAUCAUUAACGAUAAAGAAACAUCCCUGUCACACAACACGGCAUCUCACCCCAAGCCAAGUGCCUCAUCUGAGGAAACAGCCAUCCUUCCCAACAACUGAAACACGUGUCUGUGUUAAACUUACCGAGAAAAGGCAUGGCAAUCUCCAAUGGAACAUCUUGAAGGACUUCCAAGGAUACAAAUAGUUCACGCUUAUAUAGGGUUUACUUGGUGUCAGGUAUUGUUCUAAGGGCGUUCUGCAUUUUAAUUCCUUUAACCCUCACACUACAUGGAAGAGGUAAGAACUGUUAUUGUCUCCCCACUUUAUAGAUGUGGGAACUGAGGCACACUGGGGUUAAGUAACCUGCCCAAGAUCACAUAAGUAGUAAAGGCAGAGCCUGGAUUUGAACUCAGACAGUCUAUCGCUAGAUUCAACGGUCUUAAUUGCUAGACUUUAGUACCUAUUUUAAAUAUGCUUAUUUUUAUGUCUCAUGCUACCUUCUUUGUGAGUCAUGACUCAACAGUAGCAGAAGUGGCAGUGGUAGUGGCAGUUGGAGGAGGUGGCAAGAGGGUCAGUCAUGAUCAGAGUUCAAGGGCAUGAAUGGGGACAUUCAACCACUAGAGUGAAGCUGCAAAAGCUGAGGGCUCUAAAUCCAACCUUGAAAUUCAUGAAAGUUCUCCCUUGAUCCUAAAAGUUGAGCUGUCCUUUUCCUUCUGGGUCCAGACGUGAGGAGGUGCCGAACUGCUGAAACAGGGACCGAGGCUGUUCCCCCAUUUCUCACCAGGCAGAGAACAGAUCAAACACUGAAACACCACCAGGUGGGCUCCCUUCCUGGAGAUUAAUUCUUACGUCAAUCCUGGCAGCUCUUCACAGAUUAUAAACCCUUUUAAUCCCAUUUAGUCUCGGGACAGUAGGAUGAUUGGAUUCUGGUUCUGAGCCAGCCCCACGGUCCAACGUUCAUCCCUCUGAAUGACUGAAUGAGAGGUGACUCACUUUGUUUUGGUUUUUCACUGCUGCUCCUGCUCUUCCCCCUGCACCUGUCAGCAGUCAGGGCAAUAGAUGUGGACAAUGACUAAAAACUCAGGACAAAACUCAGCAAGAAGGGGGAGUGAACAGUCCCAGAGUGCCAAUGAGGUGCCAGGCUCUGCUUUAACUCUCUAAAUACCCAGUGCCCGUUUCUGGGCGAGGAAACCAAAGAUUGAAAGAGGUGGAUCUCUCCGAAGUCACACAGAGGCUGAGUUGUGGCUCCAACCGGAGUCAGUUUCCCCACAGCCCGGGACAUGCUGCUGGUUUACAGGUGGUGAGACUCAGGCUGGGAGAAAUCAAGUGACUCGCCCGAGGCUACACUUCUGGUGAGGCGCAAAACCAAGUCUUUUUUUUAUAUAUAUAUAUUUUUACUGAUUUCAGAG
This is a long non-coding RNA of Myotis lucifugus (little brown bat), 3171 nucleotides long. RefSeq lists it as uncharacterized. The transcript has 3 exons. The record is from RefSeq and is a predicted model, not a curated record. Lineage: Eukaryota; Metazoa; Chordata; Mammalia; Chiroptera; Vespertilionidae.